RNAcentral lists this long non-coding RNA (345 nucleotides) under Cavia porcellus (domestic guinea pig). RNAcentral's name for it is "lncRNA (ENSCPOG00000039867.1)". Lineage: Eukaryota; Metazoa; Chordata; Mammalia; Rodentia; Caviidae. The record is from RNAcentral.
AAGAUCUGGGCAUAAUACUUUCUAUCAGAUUUUUAAAUUAGAAUGAGUUAAAAAAAAUCAGAUGGGAAGUACAGAGUUAUCUAGACACCGUUGAGAAAUAGUUUCACUUGUACUUUCCACAUUACAGCCAAUUUGCCCAUCCUUUCCGUAUAAGAAAUUCGAAGCAUUUGAGGAAAGAAAGAAAAGCGAAGAAUGAGGGUACUGAAAUGCUUGGAACAACAACGGAAGAAGAUGGCACUGAUGAAGAGAAGGAAACCAGAGAAUUGCUUCUCCACUGAGUUGAAUGCAAACCUUCCAGAGCAGAGAAGAAUGUCCCAGUUAGGCAAGCCUAACAGUUCAUUUUAG